GACCCCUGGCCUAAUGGCUAAGGUAUCUGACUUCAGCCUAGAAGAGUAUGGGUUCAAGUCCCUUUGUGGUUG
This 72-nucleotide transfer RNA is filed under the name Scleropages formosus (Asian bonytongue). It matches the Rfam family "tRNA". Rfam says of the family: Transfer RNA (tRNA) molecules are approximately 80 nucleotides in length. Lineage: Eukaryota; Metazoa; Chordata; Actinopteri; Osteoglossiformes; Osteoglossidae. The record is from Rfam by way of RNAcentral.